RNAcentral lists this transfer RNA (72 nucleotides) under Camelus bactrianus (Bactrian camel). It matches the Rfam family "tRNA". From Rfam's summary of the family: Transfer RNA (tRNA) molecules are approximately 80 nucleotides in length. Lineage: Eukaryota; Metazoa; Chordata; Mammalia; Artiodactyla; Camelidae. The record is from Rfam by way of RNAcentral. RNAcentral also lists the same sequence under 1 other name.
GAGGGAAUGGCUCAGUGGUAGAGCAUGUACUUAGCAAGCAGGAGGUCUUGGGUUCAAUCCUCAGUACCUCCA